Molecule: ribosomal RNA, 408 nt
Filed under: Doclea japonica
Lineage: Eukaryota; Metazoa; Arthropoda; Malacostraca; Decapoda; Epialtidae
Description: partial 16S large subunit ribosomal RNA
Rfam family: Bacterial large subunit ribosomal RNA
Source: RNAcentral
AAAGUUUUAAGAGCCGCAGUAUUUUGACUGUGCAAAGGUAGCAUAAUCAUUAGUUUUUUAAUUGAGAACUUGUAUGAACGGUCGAACAAAAGAAUUUCUGUCUCUUUAUUAAGAAUUGAAUUUAACUUUUAAGUGAAAAGUCUUAAAUUUUUUUAGGGGACGAUAAGACCCUAUAAAGCAUUUUAUUGGGGCGAUACGGAUAUAAAUGUUAACUGUCAGAAUGGAAAACAUAAUAUGUAUGAAAUGAUCCUAAGAUUUAGAUUAAAAGACAAAGUUACUUUAGGGAUAACAGCGUAAUUUUUUUUAAGAGUUCUUAUCGAAAAAAAAGUUUGCGACCUCGAUGUUGAAUUAAAAUAUCUUUACAGUGUAGCCUUUGUAAGAGAAGGUCUGUUCGACCUUUAAAUUUUU